AGGCGCGUAGCUCAGUGGCAGAGCGCUGCUUUAACAUGGCAGAGGUCGUGGGUUCGAUUCCCAUCCGCGCCUACCA
RNAcentral lists this transfer RNA (76 nucleotides) under Acetobacteraceae bacterium. RNAcentral describes it as "tRNA-Val". It matches the Rfam family "tRNA". From Rfam's summary of the family: Transfer RNA (tRNA) molecules are approximately 80 nucleotides in length. Their secondary structure includes four short double-helical elements and three loops (D, anti-codon, and T loops). Further hydrogen bonds mediate the characteristic L-shaped molecular structure. tRNAs have two regions of fundamental functional importance: the anti-codon, which is responsible for specific mRNA codon recognition, and the 3' end, to which the tRNAs corresponding amino acid is attached (by aminoacyl-tRNA synthetases). tRNAs cope with the degeneracy of the genetic code in two manners: having more than one tRNA (with a specific anti-codon) for a particular amino acid; and 'wobble' base-pairing, i.e. permitting non-standard base-pairing at the 3rd anti-codon position. Lineage: Bacteria; Pseudomonadati; Pseudomonadota; Alphaproteobacteria; Acetobacterales; Acetobacteraceae. The record is from RNAcentral.